AGAGUUUGAUCCUGGCUCAGGAUGAACGCUGGCGGCGUGCUUAACACAUGCAAGUCGAACGGAGUAGGUAGCAAUACUUACUCAGUGGCGGACGGGUGAGUAACGCGUGAACAAUCUGCCUAUGUCAGGGGAAUAACACUAAGAAAUUGGUGCUAAUACCGCAUAAGACCACAGAGGGGCAUCCCUCAGGGGUAAAAGAGAUAUCGGACAUAGAUGAGUUCGCGUCCCAUUAGGUAGUUGGUGAGGUAACGGCCCACCAAGCCGACGAUGGGUAGCCGACCUGAGAGGGUGAUCGGCCACAUUGGAACUGAGAGACGGUCCAGACUCCUACGGGAGGCAGCAGUGGGGAAUAUUGGGCAAUGGAGGGAACUCUGACCCAGCAACGCCGCGUGAGUGAAGAAGGUUUUCGGAUUGUAAAACUCUUUAAGCGGGGACGAAGAAAGUGACUGUACCCGCAGAAGAAGCACCGG
This 470-nucleotide ribosomal RNA is filed under the name uncultured bacterium. RNAcentral describes it as "bacterial SSU rRNA". It matches the Rfam family "Bacterial small subunit ribosomal RNA", at positions 8 to 496 of the family's 1533-position model. The record is from RNAcentral.